AUUGAACGCUGGCGGCAGGCUUAACACAUGCAAGUCGAGCGGGGUGAUGGUGCUUGCACUAUCACUUAGCGGCGGACGGGUGAGUAAUGCUUAGGAAUCUGCCUAUUAGUGGGGGACAACAUCCCGAAAGGGAUGCUAAUACCGCAUACGUCCUACGGGAGAAAGCAGGGGAUCACUUGUGACCUUGCGCUAAUAGAUGAGCCUAAGUCGGAUUAGCUAGUUGGUGGGGUAAAGGCCUACCAAGGCGACGAUCUGUAGCGGGUCUGAGAGGAUGAUCCGCCACACUGGGACUGAGACACGGCGCAGACUCCUACGGGAGGCAGCAGUGGGGAAUAUUGGACAAUGGGGGGAACCCUGAUCCAGCCAUGCCGCGUGUGUGAAGAAGGCCUUAUGGUUGUAAAGCACUUUAAGCGAGGAGGAGGCUCUUUUGGUUAAUACCCAAGAUGAGUGGACGUUACUCGCAGAAUAAGCACCGGCUAACUCUGUGCCAGCAGCCGCAGUAA
Molecule: ribosomal RNA, 503 nt
Filed under: uncultured bacterium
Lineage: Bacteria
Description: partial 16S ribosomal RNA
Rfam family: Bacterial small subunit ribosomal RNA
Source: RNAcentral